RNAcentral lists this ribosomal RNA (253 nucleotides) under uncultured bacterium. RNAcentral's name for it is "partial 16S ribosomal RNA". It matches the Rfam family "Bacterial small subunit ribosomal RNA", at positions 524 to 776 of the family's 1533-position model. The record is from RNAcentral.
UACGGAGGAUGCAAGCGUUAUCCGGAAUGAUUGGGCGUAAAGCGUCCGCAGGUGGCCGUGUAAGUCUGCUGUUAAAGAGUGAGGCUCAACCUCAUAAAGGCAGUGGAAACUACAUGGCUAGAGUGCGUUCGGGGCAGAGGGAAUUCCUGGUGUAGCGGUGAAAUGCGUAGAGAUCAGGAAGAACACCGGUGGCGAAAGCGCUCUGCUAGGCCGCAACUGACACUGAGGGACGAAAGCUAGGGGAGCGAAUGGG